Transfer RNA from Devosia lucknowensis, 74 nucleotides. It matches the Rfam family "tRNA". Rfam says of the family: Transfer RNA (tRNA) molecules are approximately 80 nucleotides in length. Their secondary structure includes four short double-helical elements and three loops (D, anti-codon, and T loops). The record is from Rfam. NCBI's taxonomy places the organism in Bacteria, Pseudomonadati, Pseudomonadota, Alphaproteobacteria, Hyphomicrobiales, Devosiaceae.
UGGCCCGUAGCUCAGGUGGUUAGAGCGCACGCCUGAUAAGCGUGAGGUCGGUGGUUCGAGUCCACCCGGGCCAA